RNAcentral lists this long non-coding RNA (202 nucleotides) under Elaeis guineensis (African oil palm). RNAcentral's name for it is "long non-coding RNA (EGUI_LNC063388)". Lineage: Eukaryota; Viridiplantae; Streptophyta; Magnoliopsida; Arecales; Arecaceae. The record is from RNAcentral.
GCUUCCUUCUUGGAUGAGUUUAUUUUCUUAAAAAGUGAUGUGCCUACUAACAAACACCUUUUGUUCAGUAGGUGGUAGAAGUAGUAUUCAUUAGUUUUCUUACGAUGCCCUACAAACCUACACUUGUCAGAUCUAGUACUAAACUUAAGUUCAAAAAUAUUUUUGACAUAGUUGGACAGCCCCAAAUCUUAAAAUGUUUAAG